ACUUACGUGGGGCAGCCGGCGCGAAAAAUUUACAAUGAGGGCAAGCAUGAUAAGGGAACGACGAGUGCCAGCAUCUAAUACUGGCUGUCCUCGUCGUAAAAACAUAUAGCUGUAU
Molecule: ribosomal RNA, 115 nt
Filed under: uncultured archaeon
Lineage: Archaea
Description: partial 16S ribosomal RNA
Source: RNAcentral